CUGCUUAACCUGUGAUUCAAGGGUGUUGUGCUAAUAAAAGUUGGAGGCCAAAGCACAUUCAUUUAAGUUACAAUAGUGUGCCAAGAUUGGUGACCUGGUGCGUGAAGGAUAUAUAACGGAUUUUUUUCCUUUUUCUUUUCUUUGGCUGACGAUGUAGAUGCAGAUAUCAUUCAGUUUUCAGUUGCAGUGCUCUCUGUAAUCCCGUAAAACGAACCAGGCCUGACUCCAAACUCCUUGCAUUUGGAAGAUGAAAUAGCCAUCAUUCUGGAGGGAUGGGUUGUCGUCGAUUGUCUGCCAGAUCUGCCAAAAGCGGUCCGGAUUUGGCCCCCACAUUGCCAGUUGAAUAAACCUGUGUUAGGGGAAGCUGAGUUCCCUUGCCGCUGCUCUACUCUUCUCAAAACCUGGAUGCGGGACCACGUGCUCUGAACCCCUUGUCAAACCUUCCUUAUCUCUACAUGAACUCCCUGCCAGUAAUUUGAAAAUGGAAAAAAAGAAAAGUGAAUACAAAGAACGAACCAAUAUUUUCACUCCAUCCUGUCACUGCCGUCACCGUUGAUCUGCACAACACAGUCCUUGUCCAAAGGUUCCUUCGAGUGUGUUGUGUCAAAGUGAUGGUUGCUCAUCACGUACCUCCCGUGGGCAUCGAGACCUAAUGCAGGCACAAAGCGACGGUCAAACUGGAUUUCCUGGCGAAGUUACUCCAGACGUGAUCGCCUGCUGAGAGAAGGGUUGAGAAAAUGUGUACCUGUGAUGAAAGCCUCCAGCAUGAGCCCCAGCAGCAUCUGCACAGCCAGCAGAGCUAUGGCACUUGGACAGUCACCACUUGGGAACAUGGUGCCAUAGC
Nerophis lumbriciformis (worm pipefish) is the source of this 844-nucleotide long non-coding RNA. RefSeq lists it as uncharacterized. NCBI's taxonomy places the organism in Eukaryota, Metazoa, Chordata, Actinopteri, Syngnathiformes, Syngnathidae. The record is from RefSeq and is a predicted model, not a curated record.